This 492-nucleotide ribosomal RNA is filed under the name uncultured bacterium. RNAcentral describes it as "partial 16S ribosomal RNA". It matches the Rfam family "Bacterial small subunit ribosomal RNA", at positions 29 to 507 of the family's 1533-position model. The record is from RNAcentral.
AGUGAACGCUGGCGGUAGGCCUAACACAUGCAAGUCGAACGGCAGCACAGUAAGAGCUUGCUCUUACGGGUGGCGAGUGGCGGACGGGUGAGGAAUACAUCGGAAUCUACUUUUUCGUGGGGGAUAACGUAGGGAAACUUACGCUAAUACCGCAUACGACCUACGGGUGAAGGCAGGGGAUCUUCGGACCUUGCGCGAUUGAAUGAGCCGAUGUCGGAUUAGCUAGUUGGCGGGGUAAAGGCCCACCAAGGCGACGAUCCGUAGCUGGUCUGAGAGGAUGAUCAGCCACACUGGAACUGAGACACGGUCCAGACUCCUACGGGAGGCAGCAGUGGGGAAUAUUGGACAAUGGGCGCAAGCCUGAUCCAGCCAUACCGCGUGGGUGAAGAAGGCCUUCGGGUUGUAAAGCCCUUUUGUUGGGAAAGAAAAGCAGCAGGUUAAUACCCCGCUAUUCUGACGGUACCCAAAGAAUAAGCACCGGCUAACUUCGUG